Non-coding RNA from Desulfosporosinus lacus DSM 15449, 100 nucleotides. NCBI's taxonomy places the organism in Bacteria, Bacillati, Bacillota, Clostridia, Eubacteriales, Desulfitobacteriaceae. The record is from Rfam.
UAGGUAGACAGCAAACUCCCGGAUGCCCAAGCAUCUCAUGAGUUCACAAUUACCGCUAUGCUGACAGCGUUGGCAGGGUCCAACCUGAUCUAUGGCGCAG